CCUACGGGUGGCAGCAGUGAGGAAUAUUGGUCAAUGGACGGAAGCCUGAACCAGCCAAGUAGCGUGCGGGAUGAAGGCCCUACGGGUCGUAAACCGCUUUUGCACGGGGAUAACACCCUCCACUUGUGGAUUUCUGCAGGUACCGUGCGAAUAAGGGCCGGCUAAUUCCGUGCCAGCAGCCGCGGUAAUACGGAAGGCCCGAGCGUUAUCCGGAUUCAUUGGGCUUAAAGGGAGCGUAGGCGGGCGUGCAAGUCAGCGGUAAAAUCGCGCGGCUCAACCGCGCCCCGCAGUUGAAACUGGACGACUUGAGUGCACAACAGGCAGGCGGAAUGCGUGGUGUAGCGGUGAAAUGCAUAGAUAUCACGCGGAACCCCGAUUGCGAAGGCAGCCUGCCGGGGUGCGACUGACGCUGAGGCUCGAAGGUGCGGGUAUCAAACAGGAUUAGAUACCCUUGUAGUC
RNAcentral lists this ribosomal RNA (459 nucleotides) under uncultured bacterium. RNAcentral describes it as "partial 16S ribosomal RNA". It matches the Rfam family "Bacterial small subunit ribosomal RNA", at positions 338 to 795 of the family's 1533-position model. The record is from RNAcentral.